GACGAACGCUGGCGGCGUGCUUAACACAUGCAAGUCGAACGGAAAGGCCCUGCUUGCAGGGUGCUCGAGUGGCGAACGGGUGAGUAACACGUGGGUGAUCUGCCCCUUACUUUGGGAUAAGCCUGGGAAACUGGGUCUAAUACUGGAUAGGACCAUGCUGUAGGUGGUGUGGUGGAAAGAUUUUUUCGGUAAGGGAUGAGCUCGCGGCCUAUCAGCUUGUUGGUGGGGUAAUGGCCUACCAAGGCGUCGACGGGUAGCCGGCCUGAGAGGGUGGACGGCCACAUUGGGACUGAGAUACGGCCCAGACUCCUACGGGAGGCAGCAGGGGAGAAUAGUGCACAAUGGGCGCAAGCCUGAUGCAGCGACGCCGCGUGGGGGAUGACGGCCUUCGGGUUGUAAACGCCUUUCAGCCAUGACGAAGCCUCUUUUGGGGUGACGGUAGUGGUAGAAGAAGCACCGGCUAACUACGUG
RNAcentral lists this ribosomal RNA (471 nucleotides) under uncultured bacterium. RNAcentral describes it as "partial 16S ribosomal RNA". It matches the Rfam family "Bacterial small subunit ribosomal RNA", at positions 28 to 507 of the family's 1533-position model. The record is from RNAcentral.